This 73-nucleotide transfer RNA is filed under the name Camelus dromedarius (Arabian camel). It matches the Rfam family "tRNA". From Rfam's summary of the family: Transfer RNA (tRNA) molecules are approximately 80 nucleotides in length. Their secondary structure includes four short double-helical elements and three loops (D, anti-codon, and T loops). The record is from Rfam by way of RNAcentral. Lineage: Eukaryota; Metazoa; Chordata; Mammalia; Artiodactyla; Camelidae. RNAcentral also lists the same sequence under 1 other name.
GAGGGUAUAGUUCAAAUGGUAGAGUGCAUGGUCACCAUCCAUUAGGUCUUGGGUUCAAUCCUCUGUACCUCCA